Molecule: long non-coding RNA, 1693 nt
Organism: Oncorhynchus nerka (sockeye salmon)
Lineage: Eukaryota; Metazoa; Chordata; Actinopteri; Salmoniformes; Salmonidae
Exons: 2
Source: RefSeq, a predicted model, not a curated record
GUCUAUUCUACUGAUAUAGAUAUUAAUGGGUUGUAACUAGGUCUAUUCUACUGAUAUAGAUAUUAAUGGGUUGUAACUAGGUCUAUUCUACUAUACUGAUAUAGAUAUUGAUGGGUUGUAACUAGGUCUAUUCUACUGAUAUAUAUAUUAAUGGGUUGUAACUAGGUCUAUUCUACUGAUAUAGAUAUUGAUGGGUUGUAACUAGGUCUAUUCUACUGAUAUAGAUAUUAAUGGGUUGUAACUAGGUCUAUUCUACUGAUAUAUAUAUUAAUGGGUUGUAACUAGGUCUAUUCUACUGAUAUAGAUAUUGAUGGGUUGUAACUAGGUCUAUUCUACUAUACUGAUAUAUAUAUUAAUGGGUUGUAACUAGGUCUAUUCUACUAUACUGAUAUAGAUAUUAAUGGGUUGUAACUAGGUCUAUUCUACUAUACUGAUAUAGAUAUUAAUGGGUUGUAACUAGGUCUAUUCUACUCUACUGAUAUAGAUAUUAAUGGGUUGUAACUAGGUCUAUUCUACUGAUAUAGAUAUUAAUGGGUUGUAACUAGGUCUAUUCUACUGAUAUAGAUAUUGAUGGGUUGUAACUAGGUCUAUUCUACUGAUAUAGAUAUUAAUGGGUUGUAACUAGGUCUAUUCUACUGACAUAGAUAUUAAUGGGUUGUAACUAGGUCUAUUCUACUGAUAUAGAUAUUAAUGGGUUGUAACUAGGUCUAUUCUACUAUACUGAUAUAGAUAUUGAUGGGUUGUAACUAGGUCUAUUCUACUGAUGUAGAUAUUAAUGGGUUGUAACUAGGUCUAUUCUACUGAUAUAGAUAUUAAUGGGUUGUAACUAGGUCUAUUCUACUGAUAUAGAUAUUAAUGGGUUGUAACUAGGUCUAUUCUACUGAUAUAGAUAUUAAUGGUUUGUAACUAGGUCUAUUCUACUGAUAUAGAUAUUAAUGGGUUGUAACUAGGUCUAUUCUACUGAUAUAGAUAUUGAUGGGUUGUAACUAGGUCUAUUCUACUGAUAUAGAUAUUAAUGGGUUGUAACUAGGUCUAUUCUACUGACAUAGAUAUUAAUGGGUUGUAACUAGGUCUAUUCUACUGAUAUAGAUAUUAAUGGGUUGUAACUAGGUCUAUUCUACUAUACUGAUAUAGAUAUUGAUGGGUUGUAACUAGGUCUAUUCUACUGAUAUAGAUAUUAAUGGGUUGUAACUAGGUCUAUUCUACUGAUAUAGAUAUUGAUGGGUUGUAACUAGGUCUAUUCUACUGAUAUAGAUAUUAAUGGGUUGUAACUAGGUCUAUUCUACUGAUAUAGAUAUUAAUGGGUUGUAACUAGGUCUAUUCUACUGAUAUAGAUAUUGAUGGGUUGUAACUAGGUCUAUUCUACUGAUAUAGAUAUUAAUGGGUUGUAACUAGGUCUAUUCUACUGACAUAGAUAUUAAUGGGUUGUAACUAGGUCUAUUCUACUGAUAUAGAUAUUAAUGGGUUGUAACUAGGUCUAUUCUACUAUACUGAUAUAGAUAUUGAUGGGUUGUAACUAGGUCUAUUCUACUGAUAUAGAUAUUAAUGGGUUGUAACUAGGUCUAUUCUACUGAUAUAGAUAUUGAUGGGUUGUAACUAGGUCUAUUCUACUGAUAUAGAUAUUAAUGGGUUGUAACUAGGUCUAUUCUACUGAUAUAUAUAUAUUAAUGGGUUGUAACUAGGUCUAUUCUAC